Molecule: small nuclear RNA, 107 nt
Organism: Suricata suricatta (meerkat)
Lineage: Eukaryota; Metazoa; Chordata; Mammalia; Carnivora; Herpestidae
Source: Ensembl
AUGCUCACUUUAGCAACACAUAUAUUGAAAUUGGAAUGAUAUAGAGAAGAUUAACAUGGCCUCUGUGCAAAGAUGACUCACAAAUUCGUCAAGCAUUCCAUAUUUUU